This 26-nucleotide small RNA is filed under the name Arabidopsis thaliana (thale cress). Its description in RNAcentral is "ATSL184840". Lineage: Eukaryota; Viridiplantae; Streptophyta; Magnoliopsida; Brassicales; Brassicaceae. The record is from RNAcentral.
AUGAAGAAGAGGAAGAAGAGGAGGAG